RNAcentral lists this ribosomal RNA (241 nucleotides) under uncultured bacterium. Its description in RNAcentral is "partial 16S ribosomal RNA". It matches the Rfam family "Bacterial small subunit ribosomal RNA", at positions 89 to 334 of the family's 1533-position model. The record is from RNAcentral.
CGACGAGUGGCGGACGGGUGAGUAAUACUUAGGAAUCUGCCCAGUAGUGGGGGACAACUCGGGGAAACUCGAGCUAAUACCGCAUACGCCCUAAGGGGGAAAGCGGGGGAUCUUCGGACCUCGCGCUAUUGGAUGAGCCUAGUCGGAUUAGCUUGUAGGUAGGGUAACGGCCUACCUAGGCGACGAUCCGUAGCUGGUCUGAGAGGACGAUCAGCCACACUGGGACUGAGACACGGCCCAG